This 463-nucleotide ribosomal RNA is filed under the name Citrobacter freundii. RNAcentral's name for it is "bacterial SSU rRNA". It matches the Rfam family "Bacterial small subunit ribosomal RNA", at positions 128 to 586 of the family's 1533-position model. Lineage: Bacteria; Pseudomonadati; Pseudomonadota; Gammaproteobacteria; Enterobacterales; Enterobacteriaceae. The record is from RNAcentral.
GCCCGAUGGAGGGGGAUAACUACUGGAAACGGUAGCUAAUACCGCAUAACGUCGCAAGACCAAAGAGGGGGACCUUCGGGCCUCUUGCCAUCGGAUGUGCCCAGAUGGGAUUAGCUAGUAGGUGGGGUAACGGCUCACCUAGGCGACGAUCCCUAGCUGGUCUGAGAGGAUGACCAGCCACACUGGAACUGAGACACGGUCCAGACUCCUACGGGAGGCAGCAGUGGGGAAUAUUGCACAAUGGGCGCAAGCCUGAUGCAGCCAUGCCGCGUGUAUGAAGAAGGCCUUCGGGUUGUAAAGUACUUUCAGCGAGGAGGAAGGCGUUGUGGUUAAUAACCGCAGUGAUUGACGUUACUCGCAGAAGAAGCACCGGCUAACUCCGUGCCAGCAGCCGCGGUAAUACGGAGGGUGCAAGCGUUAAUCGGAAUUACUGGGCGUAAAGCGCACGCAGGCGGUCUGUCAA